GAUACCCUGCCACAUCUCCCCUUGACUCACUUUUGCAGGUGCAGGAACCAGCAUCUUCUAAGCCAUGCUAACAACUUCCCACUCAAGCUCUUGCCUCAUCCUGCUUCUCUGGCUGAGGAUUUUCUCCAGAACCACAAGAGUUUGUUCACCUAAGAAAUGUUUGCCUUUGUAAACUGGAGCUACCAUGUAAAAAGAUCAACUACCCUAAGGCCACCAUGCUGUAAAAAAACCAAGGCACAUGAAAAGCAAGGACUGGUUGCUUUAGUAGGAUACUCAUACUGGUAAUGAAUGAACAUUGCUAUCUUUCUCUUGUGAAUGGACACUGCUUUAGCAAGAGCCUUCUGCUAAAUGCCAAAGGCUGUUGUUUAUGAAUACAUUCUAUUCAUCAUUCACUACCUGGUCGUAGAGAUAUGUUAACUUUCCUCCUUUCUGUUACAAUAUCGUCUACAGGGACCUUGAUCAUCUUCACAUUCUGUACAUCACAGUGUCCCAUCGUAUUAAUGAGAGCAUGAUAAUUGGACUUAACUUUUAGGAAGGAGCAAGUAUGCUGGUUGCUGGGGUAAAAUACUUCAUUCCAGAGGUUGGGAGAUAAACCCUAUCCAUUUCUGAAGCCUGCCACAUCAGGGAAGGCUUUAGGGGCCCAAAGGUCUAGGACAUCUCAUCUAAAAGGAUGCACUGCAUCUAUUACCACCAAGAAAGAGGCACAGCACUUGGUGAGCUACUUUGGAUUUUUGAGGCAAAAACUACUACCCUUGCAAAUACCACUCUGGAAUGCUUAUUAGAAGAUUGCUGGUUUUGAAAGGACCUGAGAGAGUAUUUAAAUAGCCUCUUAAAGAUUCAGCAUAGCCAUCAGCCUAGGGAUGACACCUCACAUGAUUGGGACACUGUUCUCAGGGAUGUGGCAUAUAUGUUAAAACAAUGAUCUCUAUAUGUAGUCAUUAUGUGUGCCAUGUUUCCAAUAUCUACAAUACACAGGAAUGGUGGCUAAAGGAUCCAAGUAGGGAUGGCUCCAUGCACUGAACUCCCAGUGACCCAUUAGUGAACAUUUGUGGUUCUAAUCCUCGUAAAUUUAGGCUCUUCCUGAUCAAAGACCUUGAUCUCAGGAAAUGUGUGUAGAGAGGGGGACACUUCCAAUAAGGAUAUAGUCAUGGUUUCACUGCAUUUAAAUCAUUGACUGCCACUGGAUGACCUUGGGAUCCUCAUGUUGAUAGAUCAACAGGCAAAAUAAGAAUUACUAAACUAGUGGGGAUACUUGACUAUGAAUAUAUUGAGGAGUUGGAGUUGCUGCUAUACAAGGGGGGCAGGGAGGAAGAUGUCUGGGACUUGGGGGAUUCACUGUGGUACCACUUAGUGCUUUUAUGCCCGGUGAUAACAGUAGAAGGGCAAUUGAGGCAACCAGAGCCUGAGAGUAGCAAGGAAGCCAGGCCUCAAUUACUUAGAAAUAAAGGUCUGGUCAUCCCACUGAGUAAGCAACUGAGACUAGUCACUGCUAGCUAGGGGUAAGGGAAAUCUAGAAGAGGUGGAAGAGGAGAGAGAUGAUGGGUAUUGCACAUGGCCCUGGGACCAGGUACAGCAGUGAAUACUGUGCAAUGUCCCACUACUUCUGUUAUUUUCAGUCUUUUCUUUUUUUGGAGAUUGUAGAGAGGCAUAACCUUGAAAGUCAGUAACACUGUAAACUUGAGGUAGGUAUAAAAGGACCUAAUCAGAGCAAGGAGUGUGAAUGUGGUGAUCACCAUUACCAUGCAGCUCAUGUCCCUGGUCCACCUCUUUGUCCCCCUGCAGCAGUAGCAAACAUUUCCAUGCACUGGACAGCCUUCUCCCUGGAGUGUCAUAACUCUCUGCUUCUCUGCCUGAGGCUCCUCUCAGCCCACACUUAGGAUAGCCUGGAAGUAGCGGGAUUAAUGCCUUCAAAGACAAACGCUAACCACUGAGGUUUCAGAGUCAGGAGACAAAUGCUCCAACUCCUCCACUCUUCCACGUUGAUUACUUCUGAGACAUUCUACACAGUUUCUCAGAUGACCUCCAGUGGAGGUGAGUCCCAGUUGCCCAAAGUGGUAGCUUGUUCAUUAAUGCACGCAUUUUUUACUUUUCUCUUUUCCUUCUCUUCUUCUGCCCACUCCAUCCCACGAGCCCCUGAGAUCGUCAAACCAUAUGCAGCCCAGUCCUUAUCUCAAGGUCUGCUCUUUGGGAAGCCUAAAUGAAGAUGUCAUCGAUUUUUAAGGAAUAUAUGCUCCCUUACUGGGAUUUUUCCCACCUGCUGGGAAACUCAGCUCAACCCCCAGCUCAGAUACUGCCUACCUGUGAUCCACUGCUGGCCUGGCCACAGAUUCCAGAAGCAGUGACAGAGAAAAGCAGAGGAGUGUCACGGUGAUGUAAUAUGAGAAAGACUUGGUCAGCCACCACUGACUCUGACAAUGGAAGGUACCCAGGAGCCAAGGAAAGCAGGCAGCCUCUAGGAACUGGAAAAGGCAAAGAAACUCAUUUUCCCCUGGAAUCUCCAAAAAGGAACUCAGCCCUGCAGAAGCUUGAUGAUAACCCAUGACGGGAGAAUGGAAUGAGAUGGUCAGCACUUGACAUCUACAGGGAAAUGUCCCUCUAAAGAACUUGAUAUCAGCAACGAAGGAAAAUGAGAUUGUCCUCCAUGAGCUAAACAACAAAAUCGGUAUAUAUUGUAUGGAGCAGAGAUGUGCAAAGUCAUCAUGAUGAACAUAGUAAUCUGAUUGAAGGUAUUAACAGAUCUAAAGGACUAGUGGUCAAUCUGAA
Acinonyx jubatus (cheetah) is the source of this 2763-nucleotide long non-coding RNA. RefSeq lists it as uncharacterized. NCBI's taxonomy places the organism in Eukaryota, Metazoa, Chordata, Mammalia, Carnivora, Felidae. The record is from RefSeq and is a predicted model, not a curated record. The transcript has 5 exons.